GACGAACGCUGGCGGCGUGCCUAAUACAUGCAAGUCGAACGCAGUGGGGACGGGUGAGUAACCCGUGGGUAACCUCCCAUCAGAGGGGAUAACACUUCGAAACAGGUGCUAAACCCAUACGGAUGGAUGGACCCGCGGGGCAUUAGCUAGUUGGUGAGGUAACGGCUCACCAAGGCGACGAUCCAUAGCCGACCUGAGAGGGUGAUCGGCCACACUGGGACUGAGACACGGUCCAGACUCCUACGGGAGGCAGCAGUAGGGAAUAUUCGGCAAUGGACGAAAGCCUGACAGAGCAACGCCGCGUGAGUGAAGAAGGUUUUCGGGUCGUAAAGCACUGUUGUUAGAGAAGCGGUAUCUAAACAGAAAGCCCCGGCUAACUACGUGCCAGCAGCCGCGGUAAUUC
RNAcentral lists this ribosomal RNA (403 nucleotides) under uncultured bacterium. RNAcentral describes it as "partial 16S ribosomal RNA". It matches the Rfam family "Bacterial small subunit ribosomal RNA", at positions 28 to 526 of the family's 1533-position model. The record is from RNAcentral.